Molecule: ribosomal RNA, 252 nt
Filed under: uncultured eukaryote
Lineage: Eukaryota
Description: partial 18S ribosomal RNA
Rfam family: Eukaryotic small subunit ribosomal RNA
Source: RNAcentral
UGGCUUAWUUUGACUCAACGCGGGAAAACUCACCAGGUCCAGACAUAGGAAGGAUUGACAGAUUAAUAGCUCUUUCUUGAUUCUAUGGGUGGUGGUGCAUGGCCGUUCUUAGUUGGUGGAGUGAUCUGUCUGGUUAAUUCCGUUAACGAACGAGACCUUAUUCUACUAAAUAGAUGAUUGUUAGGUAUACUCCUAACACAUUUUCUUCUUAGGGGGACGCUACGUGUUUAACGUAGGGAAGUUUGAGGCAAU